Molecule: small nuclear RNA, 232 nt
Filed under: Carassius auratus (goldfish)
Lineage: Eukaryota; Metazoa; Chordata; Actinopteri; Cypriniformes; Cyprinidae
Description: U2 spliceosomal RNA (ENSCARG00000064897.1)
Rfam family: U2 spliceosomal RNA (bases 49-232)
About the family: U2 is a small nuclear RNA (snRNA) component of the spliceosome (involved in pre-mRNA splicing). Complementary binding between U2 snRNA (in an area lying towards the 5' end but 3' to hairpin I) and the branchpoint sequence (BPS) of the intron results the bulging out of an unpaired adenosine, on the BPS, which initiates a nucleophilic attack at the intronic 5' splice site, thus starting the first of two transesterification reactions that mediate splicing.
Source: Rfam by way of RNAcentral
AUGCCUUUGUUACAAGUGGUUCAUUUGUAAAUUUGUAUGAGUGUAUGGAUAUAAUAAAAAAAAAAAAAAAAAAAAAAAAUCUGUUCUUAUCAGUUUAAUAUCUGAUACGUCCCCCAUCCGGGGACUACAUACUAAAUGGAUUUUUAGAUCACGGAGCUGGAGCCGGGGCUUGCUCCGUCCACUCCAUGCAUCGGCCUGGUAUUGCAGUGUCUCCAGGAACGGUGUGCUUUCC